ACGAACGCUGGCGGCGUGCUUAACACAUGCAAGUCGAACGGAAAGGCCCUGCUUGCAGGGUACUCGAGUGGCGAACGUGUGAGUAACACGUGGGUGAUCUGCCCUGCACUUCGGGAUAAGCCUGGGAAACUGGGUCUAAUACCGGAUAGGAGCCAUUUUUAGUGUGAUGGUUGGAAAGUUUUUUCGGUGUAGGAUGAGCUCGCGGCCUAUCAGCUUGUUGGUGGGGUAAUGGCCUACCAAGGCGGCGACGGGUAGCCGGCCUGAGAGGGUGGACGGCCACAUUGGGACUGAGAUACGGCCCAGACUCCUACGGGAGGCAUCAGUGGGGAAUAUUGCACAAUGGGCGCAAGCCUGAUGCAGCGACGCCGCGUGGGGGAUGACGGCCUUCGGGUUGUAAACUCCUUUCGCUAGGGACGAAGCUUUUUGUGACGGUACCUAGAUAAGAAGCACCGGCUAACUACGUG
Molecule: ribosomal RNA, 464 nt
Filed under: uncultured bacterium
Lineage: Bacteria
Description: partial 16S ribosomal RNA
Rfam family: Bacterial small subunit ribosomal RNA
Source: RNAcentral